GAAAGGAUGAAUGAAAAGUCCGGAGCCGGAGCGCGCCGGGGCCAGAGCCGCGGCAGAGGCAGAGGAGGGAGCUAGGAGGUGAGACCCGCUCCACCCUGCUCGCCUAGGCUCGGCGGAGGCUAAGAGCAGGGCAGCCUCCUCUGUCCGGCGCCCGCUGAGCCCCGGCAUCUGGAACUCAGGGCCCUGGCGCUCCAGGGGCGGGAACUGGCCGGGAGGACCGCGCGGGAGAGCACGGAUGGGCACCCUGGGCUCGAUUGCAUUUGACCUACCUCAGGAUAUCCAAAGGAAAACAGAGGGAAGUGGGGGGUUGAGAACUGACACCCUACAACGCCAGCACCUCAGUGGAAAGGAGGAAUAGAGCCCAGGAGGGAUGUGGGGAAUGUAAAAAGGGCAGCUCUCUGGCAUGUUCCUGACUGAGGAUCUCAUAACAUUUAACUUGAGGAACUUCCUCCUUUUCCAGCUUUGGGAGUCAAGCUUCUCACCUGGGGCGGGUGGGUUCUGCACCACCCUCCCACCCUCCUUCCUCCGUGUGGACGAUAGAGCCACAUCCAGCACCACGGACAGCUCCCGGGCGAUCCCAUGGGAGUAGAAGAGGUGUGAGCAGGUUGCCCAGCUGGUUAGCGGAAAUGCCAAGAUCCAGGCUCCUGAAUUUCAGCCUGGCCCUUUCUAUCUGUCUGAUACCUCCUUUACGAGUCUCUCUGCCUGGGUUGUGUGGAGCGGACCUGCUGCUGGUUGGGGGAGUUUGCAGGUUGCCCCUAUGCAAAAA
RNAcentral lists this small RNA (766 nucleotides) under Pan troglodytes (chimpanzee). Its description in RNAcentral is "processed transcript". The record is from RNAcentral. Lineage: Eukaryota; Metazoa; Chordata; Mammalia; Primates; Hominidae.